UACAGAGGGUGCGAGCGUUAAUCGGAAUUAUUGGGCGUAAAGAGCUCGUAGGCGGUCUGUCGCGUCUGCUGUGAAAACUCGGGGCUUAACCCCGGGCCUGCAGUGGGUACGGGCAGACUAGAGUGCGGUAGGGGAGACUGGAAUUCCUGGUGUAGCGGUGAAAUGCGCAGAUAUCAGGAGGAACACCGGUGGCGAAGGCGGGUCUCUGGGCCGUAACUGACGCUGAGGAGCGAAAGCAUGGGGAGCGAACAGG
This 253-nucleotide ribosomal RNA is filed under the name uncultured bacterium. Its description in RNAcentral is "partial 16S ribosomal RNA". It matches the Rfam family "Bacterial small subunit ribosomal RNA", at positions 524 to 776 of the family's 1533-position model. The record is from RNAcentral.